AUGGAGGUUAAUAGCUCGGAUUAUGAGCUCGGCGCCACUGAAACUGCGGCCGAUGACCUUUAUGAUCCAGAACCAAUCGCUCAAAAUGAGUUCGUCAACCAGACUGAUUUCAAUCAAACGUCACCGAUCUACUCCAUUGGGACCGACUUUCUCUCAGAAUGGAAACUGCGGAGGGAGAAAGACAGGCUGUGUCGAUUUACAUUCCAAAGGCUGUACACGGAGCAGUGCCAGCCCGCCUACAACCUGUCCGACAUCGCAUCCGUUUGGGACAAUUACCAGGGGUACUCCUCCUGGGGCAACGAUGACUCGGUUCUAUCCGAUUAUGAUCAAGGCCUGGCAAACUUUUAUCAGCUAUCGUCAACGAUGCUUGCAGCCAACAACACGACACUCUUGAAUUCAAGUGAGUCACUCCUAAUCUUACCUACAUAUAAAUACUUUUUUCCCACUUUAUAAGCAACAAUCCGUAUUAUAGUACUUCAUUUUUGAAAAAAUGAAUAAAGGUUUAGUUAAGAUACAUAUAAGUAUCUUGAAAACUAUUAAAGAGGAGGAGUAUCGAUAAGGACCAUUUUUGGGGCCACCCUAGCGAAAUAUUAUUCCUCAAUUCUACGAUUUUUUGCUCAAUGAAGGUCUAUCUUCUACAGAAUGCAUAAUAAUUUUGUCACUUCUGGUAUCUUUCCGGGUCUAAUACCGGCCUAGACUCAGGUCAAAAGGCCGAUUUUGGCACAAAGAAGUGGAUUUUUCAGCAAUUGACCGCAAACCCGGAAUUAUCAUUUUUCGUCAGAACCGGCCUUUAGACCCAUGUAUAGGCCAGUAUUAGACACGAAAAUGACAAAAUCACGAUUCAAUCCGUAAAAAACAGACCUUUAUGAGAAAAAAUCGCAGAGUUGCAGAAAUUCAUGGUGUGUUCAAAAACGACACUUGUCGAUAACCCCCUUUGUGUUGGUUUAAAUGGCCAAAGUGCGAGACCGUGUACUUCUGUUGCGGCAUUUCAAAAUUUUCGCUCCUAGUUUAUUUUUUCGAGAAGACACAAGCUAACUUAAUGGCUUGAAAUUUACAAGAAGUAUUCUGCUGGCAAGGAAGAGAAAUCAAGGACGUUUUCAAGAAAUUACGUUAGAUAGUUUUCCGAAGAAAAAAUUAAGUAUGGAAGGAAGUCUGCUACGUCGCAAACGGAAAAAUGCGAUUUCACACUUAAGCCAUCGAAAUGCUAACCUAAUUCUGAGUUAUUUUUGUAAACACUAAGACGCCAAUGCCUCAGAACUGUCACAUCUGAGGAGUAUAAGAAUCUCAUGAUGUCACCCGCACGGAAGAGUGAAAUAGUUGAAGCACGAUUAGGAAUCGCGUGCGGAGGGACGAAAGCCCAAAUUGAAAGCUCCAGAGUUGCGG
RNAcentral lists this long non-coding RNA (1383 nucleotides) under Bemisia tabaci. RNAcentral describes it as "lncRNA ENSSSA1UGG012514". Lineage: Eukaryota; Metazoa; Arthropoda; Insecta; Hemiptera; Aleyrodidae. The record is from RNAcentral.